CACGUAGGGGGCGAGCGUUGUCCGGAUUCAUUGGGCGUAAAGAGCUCGUAGGCGGCUCAGUAAGUCGGGUGUGAAACCCUCAGGCUCAACCUGGGGACGCCACUCGAUACUGCUGUGGUUAGAGUCCAGUAGAGGAGUGUGGAAUUCCCGGUGUAGCGGUGAAAUGCGCAGAGAUCGGGAGGAACACCGGUGGCGAAGGCGGGUCUCUGGGCAUUCCCUGACGCUGAGGCGCGAAAGCGUGGGGAGCAAACGGG
This 254-nucleotide ribosomal RNA is filed under the name uncultured bacterium. Its description in RNAcentral is "partial 16S ribosomal RNA". It matches the Rfam family "Bacterial small subunit ribosomal RNA", at positions 524 to 776 of the family's 1533-position model. The record is from RNAcentral.